AAAUUGAAGAGUUUGAUCAUGGCUCAGAUUGAACGCUGGCGGCAGGCCUAACACAUGCAAGUCGAACGGUAACAGGAAGCAGCUUGCUGCUUUGCUGACGAGUGGCGGACGGGUGAGUAAUGUCUGGGAAACUGCCUGAUGGAGGGGGAUAACUACUGGAAACGGUGGCUAAUACCGCAUAACGUCGCAAGACCAAAGAGGGGGACCUUCGGGCCUCUUGCCAUAAGAUGUGCCCAGAUGGGAUUAGCUAGUUGGUGAGGUAACGGCUCACCAAGGCGACGAUCCCUAGCUGGUCUGAGAGGAUGACCAGCCACACUGGAACUGAGACACGGUCCAGACUCCUACGGGAGGCAGCAGUGGGGAAUAUUGCACAAUGGGCGCAAGCCUGAUGCAGCCAUGCCGCGUGUAUGAAGAAGGCCUUCGGGUUGUAAAGUACUUUCAGCGGGGAGGAAGGUGUUGUGGUUAAUAACCGCAGCAAUUGACGUUACCCGCAGAAGAAGCACCGGCUAACUCCGUGCCAGCAGCCGCGGUAAUACGGAGGGUGCAAGCGUUAAUCGGAAUUACUGGGCGUAAAGCGCACGCAGGCGGUCUGUCAAGUCGGAUGUGAAAUCCCCGGGCUCAACCUGGGAACUGCAUUUGAAACUGGCAGGCUUGAGUCUUGUAGAGGGGGGUAGAAUUCCAGGUGUAGCGGUGAAAUGCGUAGAGAUCUGGAGGAAUACCGGUGGCGAAGGCGGCCCCCUGGACAAAGACUGACGCUCAGGUGCGAAAGCGUGGGGAGCAAACAGGAUUAGAUACCCUGGUAGUCCACGCCGUAAACGAUGUCUACUUGGAGGUUGUGCCCUUGAGGCGUGGCUUCCGGAGCUAACGCGUUAAGUAGACCGCCUGGGGAGUACGGCCGCAAGGUUAAAACUCAAAUGAAUUGACGGGGGCCCGCACAAGCGGUGGAGCAUGUGGUUUAAUUCGAUGCAACGCGAAGAACCUUACCUGGUCUUGACAUCCACGGAAGUUUUCAGAGAUGAGAAUGUGCCUUCGGGAACCGUGAGACAGGUGCUGCAUGGCUGUCGUCAGCUCGUGUUGUGAAAUGUUGGGUUAAGUCCCGCAACGAGCGCAACCCUUAUCCUUUGUUGCCAGCGGUCCGGCCGGGAACUCAAAGGAGACUGCCAGUGAUAAACUGGAGGAAGGUGGGGAUGACGUCAAGUCAUCAUGGCCCUUACGACCAGGGCUACACACGUGCUACAAUGGCGCAUACAAAGAGAAGCGACCUCGCGAGAGCAAGCGGACCUCAUAAAGUGCGUCGUAGUCCGGAUUGGAGUCUGCAACUCGACUCCAUGAAGUCGGAAUCGCUAGUAAUCGUGGAUCAGAAUGCCACGGUGAAUACGUUCCCGGGCCUUGUACACACCGCCCGUCACACCAUGGGAGUGGGUUGCAAAAGAAGUAGGUAGCUUAACCUUCGGGAGGGCGCUUACCACUUUGUGAUUCAUGACUGGGGUGAAGUCGUAACAAGGUAACCGUAGGGGAACCUGCGGUUGGAUCACCUCCUUA
RNAcentral lists this ribosomal RNA (1542 nucleotides) under Salmonella enterica subsp. enterica serovar Uganda. RNAcentral describes it as "bacterial SSU rRNA". It matches the Rfam family "Bacterial small subunit ribosomal RNA". Lineage: Bacteria; Pseudomonadati; Pseudomonadota; Gammaproteobacteria; Enterobacterales; Enterobacteriaceae. The record is from RNAcentral.